AUAGCGAUGAGCAGCUAUCUCACUUUUCACGAUUUUUCCAUACAUUUAAUGAAUCGUUCCUUAAAUGUCUCUUUCUACACAACGUCCUUUAUUAGUGUGUGUAUUAUAGUAUAAGCUGUCAUUCGAUCGCAAAUAAGCGUCUCUAAUCUCGGAUUCUGAAACGACGCGUAGCGCCAUUUUUUAUUGUGGUUAACCUUUAACCGCUGCUUUGAAAUUGAAUUUUCCGUCGCAAUUCGCUAUUUUGAUUUGAAGGCGGUUUUCAUUUAUUUAUUAUCUAAUUAUAGUGCUUUAUUGUGUGUGAAUGUUUUUGUAAACAGUAUAUUAUAAAAGCAAUCAUUUAGUGUUUACCAGUUUAAACGUGUAAUUGUUUUUUUCGUAUAGUUUGAUUUAUUUGAUAAUAUAAUGGUUUAUAAGUGCUCUGUUCCCGGGUGCAGUACUCGAGGCCGAGGUAUUAAAUAUUAUAGUGUGCCGUUCACAAAUAAAAAAAGGUGGGAAGAGUGGUUAAGUUUAUGUCCAUUCCUACAAAAUUAUCCUCCUACUCAACGCGAAAACAUUCGUUUUUGUCAUAAACAUUUUAUUCCCGAACAUAUAAAACAGAAUCUAAGAUUAACACCUAAUGCGAUUCCUUUAGUAAACUUAGGAAAUACAGAUAAAUAUAAAGUUACAAACCGAGAUUUGAUAUUAGAAAUUGAACCCACUAGUAGCAUUACUGAACCCUUUAUUUUUAAAGUAGUUAACCCUUCUGAACUUAAUCGACCCACUAUAGAGCAAAAUUGUUCUAUCAUACAAGAACAUCAAAGUUCUGAGCUGUCUAGCACGGUAUCAAUUCAUGCUUCAUUGAAUGAAGCAAAUAGUAGUACUCCAACUCAAUUUACUCCCAAUAUACCUCACAAUACGCAAUACCCAAUAUGUAUAACCCCUUCCACAUCAACCACCAUUGCUGUGUGUAAUGAGCACAAAUUAAAAGUCACAGCCUAGUUAAACGUAGAUUAACUAAUCGUAUUAGAUUAAAUCCCAAUGAAUGUACCCCUCGUAAACGAAUUUUACGCUCUUCAAUUCACAUUUUAAAGAAUAAAUUACGUCUCUUGCAAUCAAGGUAUAAAAAGUUAAAGACUAGAUUUGACCUUCAUGCACCAAAAACAAAGGUGUUCUUGAAAAAAUAUAACAUUUUGAGUACAUAUGGGAAAUUAUUAGUAGAUUCACAAUUACGUUUGACUGGUAAUUCAUUAAAAGGUCGCCGUUACACAGACUCAGAAAAAGUUUUUGCUUUAUCAUUAUAUAAGUUAAGCCCUAAGUGCUAUAGAUUUUUACGAAAACAUUUAGCAUUACCAUGUAAAUCCCGAAUUAAUUCUCUACUCAGCAAUAUUCCUUUGAGGCCUGGUAUUAAUGACUUUAUAUUUCAACAUUUGGCAGAUGCUGCCUUGGAUAAACCCGCAAUAGACAGGCAAUGCACAUUAAUGUUUGAUGAAAUGUCCAUUAAAAAACACUUAAAUUUUAAUUUCUUUACUGGGGUCAUUGAAGGUUUUGAAGAUAUAGGUUCUGGCAAACGCACAAACAAUGUGGCUGAUAAAGCUUUAGUUUUUAUGUUACGGGUUUGUUUUCUCCUUGGAAAAUUCCAAUUGCAUUUUAUUUUGCUCGAGAUGGGGUUAAAACAUUUGUUUUAAAAAUAUUAUUAAAGAAAUAGUAUUAGCAGUUUUUAAAUCUGGAUUCAUAGUAAGAGCUACAAUCAGUGACCAAGGUUCUGCCAAUGUUGCUGCUAUUAAGUCAUUAAUAUCAGAUUCUAAUGCUGAACUCCUACGUAGUAACAAAUAUACCAAUGACAUCUGUUAUAAAAUCGGCCCAAACCAACUGUACCAUAUCUAUGAUGUACCUCAUUUAUUGAAAUGUUUUCGCAAUAAUUUUCAUAAAAAACCUACUCAUUGGCAACCAAAGGGCAAAGUGGGAGUAUAUUGAGAGACUUUAUAAAGUGGAUGGUUUUGGUGGCAGAGCAAGAAGCACCAAACUUACUGAGAAGCACAUAAAUCCAACUUCAUAUGACAAAAUGAAGGAUCUUUAGGUCAUCAGCAAACAUGAAAGGUGUGGAAUGAUGCAAGCAAUUGAUAAUGUCAUUUAUGAACAUAUUAAAAAUAACAGUCCCAAAUGGGAGCCCUGUGGGCACCCCAGAAGCAAUAUGAUGGAAAUUGGAACUAAAACCAUUAAGAACCACAUGGUCAAAUUUGCAGCCCAAGUUUUUAGCCGGCAAGUGGCUACAUCACUAGAAAUCCAGAUGAAGUCUCUGCUAUCUCUCCAGGAUCAUGAUUACAUAAGUUUAAAUGAAGACAUUGGAAAUGGUUUGUUCACAGCAGAAAUUCUUCUUUUUAUAAAUAAUUUGUUUGAUAGUUUAAAUGGUUUUGGUCAUUAUGGGAAUAAGUUAAAACAUGCUCUUUCAUAUAAUUCGGAGCACAUUGCAUUCUGGAAUGAUGCUGUGAAAAGCUAGCUUCAAUGCGCUUUGACGCUUCCAAUGAAAGGGAAAGGAAGCCUUUAUCACUGAAGCAUUUUGAACAUAAUAUAAAAACAAUAAAACAUUUGUGGUCAGAUCUGCUGAGAAUUGAUGGUGUUAAAUUUUUAAGUCUUAGACGUCUUAAUCAAGAUCCGAUAGAAAACUUUUUUGGUCAAAUAAGGGCACAUGGUAAUUUUAGUACAAAUCCUAAUUGUACUCAUUUUGUAUCGGCUUUUAAAAUCUUGUUGAUUAACAACAUUACUACCGGUAAAUCUUUAUACACUAAUUGUUCUGAUGAUGAUGACAAAAUGUUGGGAACAUUAAAACAUUUAGUCAGCCACCAAAAAUAUGGUUCAUACACUGAUAGUCUUCAAUGUAAUGAAACUAACUUUAUAGAAAUUUCUAUACCUAACGAGAAUAUAUUCCAACAUAAGUCUGUACCAUAUAUUGCUGGUGCAGUUUGUCGUUUUGAUGUCCAAUUUGAACUGCAAAGAUUGUGAUAAUUGUACAAAAGCACUAUUAUCUCAGAGAGAGUCAUUUCACGAAUUAAUUAAUUUAAGAGAAUAUAGUUCCAAUGUAGAUAGGUUAUGUUAUCCUUCUAAUAAUUUUAGUCAAAUGGUCUGGCAGAGUAUUUACAUUAUUGACAAGAUGAUGCCAUUUCUUUGCAGUGUUUAUAUUUAUUCUGACUUAAUAAGUAAUUUAAUAAAAUAUAUUGACACUACUUGGUACAACUGUAAUAUUCACAAAACGGCUGUUAUUAAAGCUUUUGGUCCUACAUAGUUAGAAUGCAAGUUAAGCAGUGGUGUAUUAAUUUUAAUAAUAGAAUGAAUAAUAUUGAUUCAAGGCCUAAAGAUAUAGAAAUGGAAACUCUAAUCCGUGAGAAAGUCACAAAAGGAUUGAGUUAUAGAUCACAAAGAAGGCGUAGUUCCUAAUCUCACUUAAUUAAAGUUCUUCAUAGUAUUUUGUCCACAAUUAUUACGAUUUUUGCAAA
This is a long non-coding RNA of Manduca sexta (tobacco hornworm), 3470 nucleotides long. RefSeq lists it as uncharacterized. The transcript has 3 exons. The record is from RefSeq and is a predicted model, not a curated record. Lineage: Eukaryota; Metazoa; Arthropoda; Insecta; Lepidoptera; Sphingidae.